GAGUUGGGGUCCCUCGGGGCCCGAUCUCCAACCCUUUGUCUAUUCCACCGCGUCGCUUCGGCGGGCCCGCGCCCACCGAUCGCGACCGCAGUCUUGAAACACAACCACACAAAACUUUCAACAACGGAUCUCUUGGCUCU
RNAcentral lists this unclassified non-coding RNA (140 nucleotides) under rhizosphere metagenome. RNAcentral describes it as "partial ribosomal RNA internal transcribed spacer region". The record is from RNAcentral.